This 1243-nucleotide long non-coding RNA is filed under the name Heterocephalus glaber (naked mole-rat). RNAcentral describes it as "lncRNA (ENSHGLG00100043458.1)". Lineage: Eukaryota; Metazoa; Chordata; Mammalia; Rodentia; Bathyergidae. The record is from RNAcentral.
GUGUGCUGAGGAACUCUGUCCUCCUCUAGAAGGCAGAUUUCCUAUCUGCCCCUCCUCAGAGGAGUCAGUGUUCAUCCCUCUUCCCUGAAGACCUUUCGUGAAUGCACUCACUUGAAGAAGAGACGCACGACAAAUGUUCUGAGACUGAGAAAUUCUCUCCUGCAUCCAGAUUUGAACUUGGGACCAUCUCAUGUGUCUCAGUGGUAUCCUCUGGAGAGUUGUGCAGUUCUGAAGUGGAAGAAAACAGCAGCAACAAAAUUAUUGAUACAUAGCAUAGUCUGGGUCUGUGUCAUUUUAAAACAUAUAUGGAGUAGAUAUUUUGUUUCUGCCAUUGUUACCACCCAUGGUAAUUCCUCACACAAAAUUAAAGAGAACUUAUUAAAAUUAUGUAUGUGGUGGGUAUCACUGGGAUUGGGUAUCUUCUAUAUAUUUUUAGAGAUGUAUACAGAAUAUUGGGAACUCAAAUAUGUUUAAAAUAUGAUAUACAUUCACUAGUGGUUAGAUAUUAUUACUAUUGCUAUUUUUAUUGGCUCAAUUUCCUGGUAAUAAAUUGUGCCAGUGAAAGCUGUGGAGUAUAAGUUUCAUGAGGAAUUGUGAAUGUUGACUCAUUUAUUUUGGUGAAUGUAGAGUCAUAUACAUGGAAGGGUUGAUGUGAAUAUGAAUAAAAGAUGGACCUGCAUGCAAAGAUACAAAUUGUUAGAUGGUUCUCUAGGAACUGGGCAUGGCACAGCUAAGCAUUCAAAUGAAGACUUUACAGACUUGAUCCCAGUUCAUCUUUCAGAAAUGUGAUAUAGGAGGUAGAACGUGGCAAACUGACUAGAGAAGUGGGAGGGACCUGUAAAUUACAAGACUCCAGGGCAGUGCCAGAUGAUUCUCUGGACCCCAUAUGUAGAACUUCCUAUGAGCUCCACAAGAUAUGGACAUCAUGAGGAAGACCAGAAACCGGGAGGAGCUCGCUAUCUUUACUCUUCACAGUAGCCCACCCUGGGUUUCCCAAACCCAGGGUGUAUUUUUAAUUUUUGCUCUUUUUACCUUUUCUUUUUUUGGCUCAAGUUUGCUCUACAGAGCUAGUUUUUCCCUUACCCCUUCACCCUUCAUUUUUCAAAUAAAUUUUUGGGAGAUAGAAAAAUGAACAUGGUGAGUUUUGGAAACAGAACCUGGGCAGUUUUGGAGAAAAGGGGUCAUUUAUUCAGUUGUUGAACAAACAGGGUCUGCUCCACCUCUGUUCCACCUCAGACCUUUG